Molecule: ribosomal RNA, 1325 nt
Filed under: uncultured Gammaproteobacteria bacterium
Lineage: Bacteria; Pseudomonadati; Pseudomonadota; Gammaproteobacteria
Description: bacterial SSU rRNA
Rfam family: Bacterial small subunit ribosomal RNA
Source: RNAcentral
GGGUGAGUAAUGCUUAGGAAUUUGCCUUUGUGUGGGGGACAACAGUUGGAAACGACUGCUAAUACCGCAUAAUACCUACGGGUCAAAGGGGGCUUCGGCUCUCGCGCAAAGAGAAGCCUAAGUGAGAUUAGCUAGUUGGUGAGGUAAGAGCUCACCAAGGCGACGAUUUCUAGCUGGUUUGAGAGAAUGAUCAGCCACACUGGGACUGAGACACGGCCCAGACUCCUACGGGAGGCAGCAGUGGGGAAUAUUGCACAAUGGGGGAAACCCUGAUGCAGCCAUGCCGCGUGUGUGAAGAAGGCCUUCGGGUUGUAAAGCACUUUCAGUGAUGAGGAAAGCCUAGUUGUUAAUACCAGCUAGGUGUGACGUUAGUCACAGAAGAAGCACCGGCUAACUCCGUGCCAGCAGCCGCGGUAAUACGGAGGGUGCGAGCGUUAAUCGGAAUUACUGGGCGUAAAGCGCACGCAGGCGGUUAUAUAAGCCAGAUGUGAAAUCCCCGGGCUCAACCUGGGAAAUUGCAUUUGGAACUGUAUGACUAGAAUACGAGAGAGGGUGGUAGAAUUUCAGGUGUAGCGGUGAAAUGCGUAGAGAUCUGAAGGAAUACCGGUGGCGAAGGCGGCCACCUGGCUCGAUAUUGACGCUCAUGUGCGAAAGCGUGGGUAGCGGACAGGAUUAGAUACCCUGGUAGUCCACGCCGUAAACGAUGUCUACUAGCUGUCUGUGCGAUUAAGUGUGGGUAGCGAAGCUAACGCGAUAAGUAGACCGCCUGGGGAGUACGGCCGCAAGGUUAAAACUCAAAUGAAUUGACGGGGGCCCGCACAAGCGGUGGAGCAUGUGGUUUAAUUCGAUGCAACGCGAAGAACCUUACCAGGACUUGACAUCCAGAGAACUUACUAGAGAUAGUUUGGUGCCUUCGGGAACUCUGAGACAGGUGCUGCAUGGCUGUCGUCAGCUCGUGUUGUGAGAUGUUGGGUUAAGUCCCGCAACGAGCGCAACCCUUGUCCUUAGUUGCCAGCAUUAAGUUGGGCACUCUAAGGAGACUGCCGGUGACAAACCGGAGGAAGGUGGGGACGACGUCAAGUCAUCAUGGCCCUUACGUCCUGGGCUACACACGUGCUACAAUGGCAAGUACAAAGAGAAGCGAAGUCGCGAGGCGGAGCGGAUCUCAUAAAGCUUGUCGUAGUCCGGAUUGGAGUCUGCAACUCGACUCCAUGAAGUCGGAAUCGCUAGUAAUCGUAGAUCAGAAUGCUACGGUGAAUACGUUCCCGGGCCUUGUACACACCGCCCGUCACACCAUGGGAGUGGGAUGCAAAAGAAGUAGGUAG